ACAAGUUGCCCCCACCUACCUUCGUUCUAUCGUGUGAUCCCUGAUCCAGAUUCCUCCUAUUCGUCUCCGUCCUCGCCGCCUCAACUACGCCCCGUGAUCUCGAUGUCGAGGACUUCCCCAUCUCUCCAGCACCUCCCUCCACUCCCACCCAGACAAAUCCAGGAUACGCCCCCAAAUGCCAACCCUGCGGCAUCGACGGAGCGUGACAAUGUCGACCGCCCGGCGAGGCGGCGACUUGCCGGACUAGAUGGUGCGGAACCUUCUAGAGCAGGAGAGUCUUCAUCGGAGGCAAGACCACCUACAGCUCCUUCAUCUCCAUCCUCGUAGCCGCCGUCAGCUUGUUCGUGCUUGUCCACCGAUUCUGCCAGUAACACAUCCUCGCCAAGGACUUCUCCAACCUCAACGCCAUGGUAAUUUUGUAUUCUCUCGCCUCUCUCUUUGCUUGCUGCCAGUUCACUCGAUCAGCCUAGGUUGUUGGUAUUUGCGAGACAGGCAAACACUCAUGCUGGCUAUUAAAAUGGAGACUUUCAAUUUUGGGUGUUUUCAUAGGUAUGUGGUACUACUUUGUGAUAUGUGGCUGGUUGAUGAACGCUGUAUAUUCCCAAUCCUUUGGAACAGAGAUUCUACUUGCGUUGGUUAGAUGCUGGAUUUCAUCUUAUACCUUCCUUGGAAGGUGACAACAGAAGAUAAGGUCUGCGACUGGAAAAUAAGUAUGCUGUUUGGGCAUUUUCAUUUUAAUAUGUUCUGCUGAUGACCGAAUUUGUGUGAAGAUUAAGGUGUCUACCUUGUAGAAAAAAAUACCAAUCAUCUAGCAAUUUCCUUUAAGUAUUAUAGUAUUCCUGAUCCACCGUUGUGGUUGUUGGCUUGCGCCGUUGUGUAUGUACACGCUAAUGACCAGCUGGCCGCAGCUAAUUACUCAUUAUCCCAUAUGUUAAUGAACUAGGAUGAAAUUAGAUAAUCCCAAAGCCAACAAGCAAUAGCGCAUGUACGAUCGUGGCUGGCUUAUUUUGAUCGAUGAAUCGAUCAGAUCAUGACCUAUGUAUAUGCAUGUUCAGCACUUUCACCGGCUGGAUAUAGUAACUUCAGUUCAGAUUUGAUUGUGGCUGUCAUCCUAGAGUGUAGUAGCAGCUGCUGCUAGCAGCCUAACGCUGGAGCACUUGGUGUAGCGCCGCGGCAUUGGUCUUCACAACAGUGUGUUUGCUGCGCACCGUCUUCCACGACGCGUUGAUCUUCAGAGUCUUUGAACCUGGCGUCACAACUCAUGUGAGUCAACCUUAAACUUAAGGUAUAUCAUUACAAAUUUAUAUUGUUGUUAGGACUUUUAAAGAUUGCCAGUCAGUGUUUUUGUUCAAUCUACUUAAAUGUGCUAGCAAGUGCUUGUGAAAUGAAUCCAUCAUUCUUUACAGGACAAAAAUUUCCUACAUAUUCAUCUUUGGGAGUAGGGGUGCAGAGCGGCGUGCCGUGAAGUCCCAGAAAAGUGCCCAGCUAGUGCAAAAUACUCUAACGCACUCUGAUCAAGCUAAAACAGAAUUUUCUCAUUUUGAACCGGAAGUGGGGCGGAUCGGGCACCGCCCUGCAUCCCUAUUUGGGAGAAAGUUCAGGGCAUAUAUAGCGGGCUACUUCUGUAGAAGGAGAGUUGAGUGCUAUGGCUGGGACUGUAAAGAAGUGUUCAAAUUAUGAUAGAUCAAAGCCCUUCACAGGUGAUGACGUAUGUUGGAUGAUGGAAUGAUUAUUCUGUUCUGGUGCUUGCUUUGACUUGGGUGUUCAGAGAAGUAAAACUUUGAACUAACAUCUUUAGUGAAGCAACAUAUUGUAUCUGAAGUGAAACUUUCUCUUUGAUAUGGAGAUGCGAGCAUCAAACUAACAUCCAUCUAAAGAUAAGAUUGCCAAUAUAAAUCAAUGAUGCAUGGCUCGGAAGUUGGUUGCAAAAUCACGAAGGUGGCUACUACUCGAUAGUUUUAGAUUAGGUUAUUAGAAUGUCAUUCAAGUCAAUGUUUGAAACAUUAUGUUUUAGAUGGCUGGCAUGUUGAUUGCAAGGUUGAGAAUCAGACUACUACUAGAUAGUUUCACAUACUGUAAUCUUUGUAUCAUGCUCUUUGUAAAGCAACCGAGUUGAUUUAAUAUAUGUGACCUUUCUAAUUAUUA
Long non-coding RNA from Triticum aestivum (bread wheat), 2145 nucleotides. RefSeq lists it as uncharacterized. The transcript is spliced from 3 exons. The record is from RefSeq and is a predicted model, not a curated record. NCBI's taxonomy places the organism in Eukaryota, Viridiplantae, Streptophyta, Magnoliopsida, Poales, Poaceae.